GACGAACGCUGGCGGCGUGCUUAACACAUGCAAGUCGAACGGAAAGGCCCUGCUUUUGUGGGGUGCUCGAGUGGCGAACGGGUGAGUAACACGUGAGUAACCUGCCCUUGACUUUGGGAUAACUUCAGGAAACUGGGGCUAAUACCGGAUAGGAGCUCCUGCUGCAUGGUGGGGGUUGGAAAGUUUCGGCGGUUGGGGAUGGACUCGCGGCUUAUCAGCUUGUUGGUGGGGUAGUGGCUUACCAAGGCUUUGACGGGUAGCCGGCCUGAGAGGGUGACCGGCCACAUUGGGACUGAGAUACGGCCCAGACUCAUACGGGGGGCAGCAGUGGGGAAUAUUGCACAAUGGGCGGAGGCCUGAGGCAGCAACGCCGCGUGCGGGAUGACGGCCUUCGGGUUGUAAACCGCUUUCGCCUGUGACGAAGCGUGAGUGACGGUAAUGGGUAAAGAAGCACCGGCUACCUACGU
Molecule: ribosomal RNA, 467 nt
Filed under: uncultured bacterium
Lineage: Bacteria
Description: partial 16S ribosomal RNA
Rfam family: Bacterial small subunit ribosomal RNA
Source: RNAcentral